UUAAGCAGUUUUUUUUUUAAAUCCCCAGAUUCGUUUCUUCAGCAUCAAGCAGUCCCUUCAGACAGAAUGGGUUUCAGUCGGACGUCACAGCCAAUCACCAGCAGCUCAGUCUGUGUGGUGUACUGAAAAAAAGGGGCAGAGAUGAUGAGGCAGAGCGCCCAGAGCUGACUCAGUUUAGCUUCUAACUUCCAGCAGUGGUUCUGUCUGCAUGUGCAGCAGGCUCUGAGCUGAAGAGUUCACUUCAAGCAGUCAGUCAGCUGUCAGUCGCUGAGGCAAGGCUUCAUAUCUCUGAAAGAAAAAUCAUGGAUUUGGAGUCUGGGGAACUGGGUGAAGGAGAUCUCUCAGGAACUGAAUCCUUU
This is a non-coding RNA of Chiloscyllium plagiosum (whitespotted bambooshark), 359 nucleotides long. NCBI's taxonomy places the organism in Eukaryota, Metazoa, Chordata, Chondrichthyes, Orectolobiformes, Hemiscylliidae. The record is from RefSeq and is a predicted model, not a curated record.